AUCCCGAAAGGGCAAACCUACCCGAAAGGGAGGGUCGCAAAGCCAUGGGCCUAAAGCAGGUGGUGCUAGGGCUGCCAGGCUACCGAA
This 87-nucleotide non-coding RNA is filed under the name Clostridiales bacterium PH28_bin88. RNAcentral describes it as "c-di-GMP-I riboswitch aptamer". It matches the Rfam family "c-di-GMP-I riboswitch aptamer". From Rfam's summary of the family: GEMM was predicted in a large-scale screen for bacterial structured RNA regulatory elements. The record is from Rfam by way of RNAcentral. Lineage: Bacteria; Bacillati; Bacillota; Clostridia; Eubacteriales. RNAcentral also lists the same sequence under 1 other name.